Long non-coding RNA from Panthera uncia (snow leopard), 1318 nucleotides. RefSeq lists it as uncharacterized. The transcript has 3 exons. The record is from RefSeq and is a predicted model, not a curated record. Lineage: Eukaryota; Metazoa; Chordata; Mammalia; Carnivora; Felidae.
GAGAGCAUGAGCGGGGGAGGGGCAGAGAGAGAGGGAGACACAGAAUCUGAAGCAGGCUCCAGGAUCCGAGCUGUCAUCACACAGCCCGACGCGGGGCUCGAACUCACAGACCGUGAGAUCAUGACCUGAGCCGAAGUCAACCGACUGAGCCACCCAGGCGCCCCGGGGGGUCUUCUUUUGAUGAGGACACAGUCAUAUUGGAUUAGGACCCCACCCUUUUCCACUCUGAGCGCAUCUCCGCUGAUUACAUCUCCGAUGGCCUUACUUCCAAACAUCACGUUCUGAGGUCCCGUUUAAGACGCGUCGGCCUAUCUUUCUGUGAGGACACGAUUCGACCCACUCGCCGGUAGUGUAACCGAGAGCACCUUCCUCAAGUCAGUAGAAACAUCUGCCUAAACCUGCUGUGGAAGGAAAGCGGAAGGGUAACCGCCUUUUAGUUUCUGCUUAUUUCCCGAGUUGUCUGUGCCCGAGCCGGGUCGACGGGUGUGCAGCUGCCAGAGCCUCUGAUUCCGAGCCAGCCAAGCCGUCGGGAGCCCUGAAUACGUCGUCUUCCAGUUGGCUAGCUCAGCGACCCAGAUGGAAACUGAAGAGAUGAUGUGACUCCGUCCACAUGGAGACAUUAGCUUGUGUUGCGUAUUUUAACUUCACAGACCGUGUUUGUGCUGUAGUGCCUUUACGCUUCUCAUGGCAAACAGUCUGGAAUGUCAUUAAAACUUUUCCAGUAGAAUGUGCAAAUUUUGGCAAAACAAACAGAAGGGUAUCGAUAUUCUGAGCUUGGCUAAACCGCGCCAGCCCCUGCUUCCUCCACCCUGCCCCCAAAUGAAGUGACGUGGAGAGCAAAGGGUCUGAGUAUUACCCGGCCUGAGUCCCGCAAGAACCUGGCACUGUGGAGGCCUCCGUCCCUUACAUACCCGCACAGCUGAUGGCACUCUGUCUUUAUCAGUGGCUUCCAUGGUGACCGCCCCUGGAGCCCAGAAGAAGGGGGAGGCCUUGGGCCUACUUGGCUAAGGGCCCGUGUUCAAAGGCGGCCCCCACUCUGAGAGAGCAGCCUUGUGGCCAUACGGCCUAUAAAUGCUGGGCUCCUACUGAUGGCCUCAUUCCAGGAGAGAGCCCUGUGCCCGGUGACCCUGGGCGCUGGGAACCAGUGAAGCAAAAUGUCCUUGUAGCCGGGUCCCGAUCUUAACCCACUGGUCGUCCACCUGCGCACCCCUUUUUCCUGGAUUAACAAAAUCCAAGCAAUUACUCACAGCUUCAACACACGAUGGGGGGAAGGGCUCCUGUUCGGUUUCCAUUCCGCAAAUAGGUGAUCAAAACUUCU